AUGCAUCCGGCUUAAGAAAACUUCAGACACGUCGAUUCAGUGGGAAAAACGCGAGGUCUUUAUGUAACCGGUUCGGACACGUGAAGUUUAAGAAGCUCCCAUAUCCGAACGAUACGAAUAAAAGCGUCUAGGGUCUAAUGGUGUCAGAUGGUGUGUUUCGCCGUUGUGCCCUGAAAAGGCGAGCAACACACGUGUUUCACGCGGGUAAGACAUUCGGUGGAUCAUUUGAGCCAUUCAAAGGACAAGUUCAUUAAUUCAUAAAUGUUAAUUACAUCUUGCCGAAGGAAACUGUAUUUCGGAUGUUUAGUAGUCCUACUGUAAAUUUUACCAGAAUAGCGUAUAAUUUCCUACAAAUCGAACGAUUAACCUUGACAAAGUCAGCCACUUCAGCUUCUGUGCGUGUCCCAUUUACUAAAUAUAUACUCUAUACUACCAUCGAAAUACAUAAAAUUUAAUGAAAUCCAUCCAUGAUUUCACAACUACCAAACAUUUGCCGCAACCAAUCAAGCGUGCCUAUACUGUUGAAUGGGGGUGUAAAUAAGAGAGAUUAAAACCAUCAUGUUCUCACCCAAGAAACACUAUCACAGAAGAGAUAAAUACUAAAAGAUCGUUGAAAGCACCAUUCGAGGAUGCCAAUCGGCGCGUAAACACGAUCGAGAGUGAUCAAGCAGUUUUUCACGCGAGAUCGUUGGAUUUAUCGAUGAUCGGCGAGCGUCGACGAGGACGCGGUUGCAACGUUUGACGUUAAUCGAUGGAAACUUUAUAGCCAGGCGAUAUAUUAGCGGAGAAGGCAGGUGUUGGUGUCGAUCGGUCGGCGAAACCGUGUGGUAGCGGUUCGCCGGCAAAAAUUCCAGAGGUCCGGGACCGGUUCCUCCCAAAAAAUUGGCGCCGAGCGGACCAUGUUUCGGGUCAAAGAACGACCUUGCCUCUCCGUGCCCCGUUCGUCGCUCGUGUGUGUUCCCCACGUACUUUUUCGCGUCCUCGUGCCCCACCGCCGUAAUACAUCGUGGUUUCGCAUCGCCACCUCGACGCCAGUGGCGUAAUA
Molecule: unclassified non-coding RNA, 1045 nt
Filed under: Bombus terrestris (buff-tailed bumblebee)
Lineage: Eukaryota; Metazoa; Arthropoda; Insecta; Hymenoptera; Apidae
Description: misc RNA ENSBTSG00005033313.1
Source: RNAcentral